This 433-nucleotide ribosomal RNA is filed under the name uncultured bacterium. RNAcentral describes it as "partial 16S ribosomal RNA". It matches the Rfam family "Bacterial small subunit ribosomal RNA", at positions 29 to 507 of the family's 1533-position model. The record is from RNAcentral.
AACGAACGCUGGCGGCAUGCCUAACACAUGCAAGUCGAACGAGACCUUCGGGUCUAGUGGCGCACGGGUGCGUAACGCGUGGGAACCUGCCCUUAGGUUCGGAAUAACUCCCCGAAAGGGGUGCUAAUACCGGAUAAUGUCUUCGGGCCAAAGAUUUAUCGCCUUUGGAUGGGCCCGCGUUGGAUUAGCUAGUUGGUAGGGUAAAAGCCUACCAAGGCGACGAUCCAUAGCUGGUCUGAGAGGAUGAUCAGCCACACUGGGACUGAGACGCGGCCCAGACUCAUACGCGAGGCAGCAGUGGGGAAUAUUGGACAAUGGGCGAAAGCGUGAUCCAGCAAUGCCGCGUGAGUGAUGAAGGCCUUAGGGUUGUAAAGCUCUUUUACCCGGGAUGAUAAUGACAGUACCGUGAGAAUAAGCCCCGGCUAACUCCGUG